Molecule: long non-coding RNA, 255 nt
Filed under: Mytilus galloprovincialis (Mediterranean mussel)
Lineage: Eukaryota; Metazoa; Mollusca; Bivalvia; Mytilida; Mytilidae
Source: RNAcentral
UUGAUGUUUCAUGUGGAUACCUUUUAUAGUCAUUUAUAUAGUAUGGGGUUUUCUCAAUGUUGAAGGCCAUGCUUGUGUCUACAAUUCUUGACACCCAUUACAUUUGACAUCUGAAGGACACUUUUUUUUCUGGCAAUCAUAAAACAUCUCUUACUUUUAUAUCAGUCAUGUUUUCUAAAGCGAAAUCAGAACCAGUAACUUAAAGUAAAGACUACAGUAUAACCAGCAGUCAUUGAUUAUUAAGUUUAAUUACGG